This 277-nucleotide long non-coding RNA is filed under the name Panax ginseng (ginseng). RNAcentral's name for it is "long non-coding RNA (PGIN_LNC009971)". The record is from RNAcentral. Lineage: Eukaryota; Viridiplantae; Streptophyta; Magnoliopsida; Apiales; Araliaceae.
CCCUCAAUUAUUAUUAACAUAAACUAAUAAAUAUUAUAACAUAAACUGAUAAACAAUAUAAAGGUACUUACUAAUCUUUUACGCAAUACAAGAAGGUCAUCAUUUCGGUCACCAUCUUGCAUUCCAAGUGUUUUAUUUAAGAAGUUUUUUCCCCACAUUUUUUUUGAAGGGGUUGGAAUUUUUUAUUUUAUUUUUUACUUUUAGCAAUACUUUUUUUUUCCUUUCUUAAAAUGUUUUUUUUAUCCUCAACUCUGGAAAUUGGGUAAGAUUAAGUGAG